CGUGCCCGCUCCAGUGCCCUCAUGUCACCUCCUCACGUGGCGCUUUAUCACCUCACAUCCUCCCAGGAGGAAGCACUAUGACAGAGAGGGCACAGUCACAUAACCUGUGUUUCAGUCCUGUCGCAAUCACUCUGUUUUACCAGAUCCAGGAACUAAAGCCACAUCAGAUGUUUAUUUUAAGGAGCUAGAGAAACAUCUAAGUCCAUGCACCAAAUGAGACAGUCCCCGGUGUCAGGGGGAAACACCGGACGAGACGGCCACUCCAUAAAUCUUGCCGCACAGUGUUUGCGCGCAUCCUCGUGGGUUAGAAGCAGCAUUCGACCGAGAGAGUCUGUUGAGUGAAACAUCACCAGCUCCCGUUUGACCAAAAAUGGCUACAGAUAAACAAGUCUCAUCCCUGGCAGGAUGCGGCUCCGUCUGGCAAAUGUUUAUCAAGCGCCAGCUGUGUUCCAGGGAUGCAGAGGCGGAGAGCCACGGUCCGUGGCCCCUGGUAGCCCCCGGGUACACCGGGAAAGGACACUCUGGGUCAUCGAUGGGAAGGAGGCAGUGCCUUCGCAAAGAACGUGUAUUCUUCACUGUCAAUUAAUAAACUAGCAUCUGGUUUACUCAGAAACCGGUGGGGGGGGGGUGUGCUAGCUUACACAGCUUGGUUGACAGAAGCCAAUACUCAAUAGCAAGCAACUCUGAUCUCUGGAUGUUUUCAGCUGAGGCCUGGAUUGUGCCGCAGGUGCAGGUCAUUAAAAA
Acinonyx jubatus (cheetah) is the source of this 744-nucleotide long non-coding RNA. RefSeq lists it as uncharacterized. NCBI's taxonomy places the organism in Eukaryota, Metazoa, Chordata, Mammalia, Carnivora, Felidae. The transcript has 3 exons. The record is from RefSeq and is a predicted model, not a curated record.